GACGAACGCUGGCGGCGUGCUUAAUACAUGCAAGUCGAACGGAAAGGUCCUGCUUUUGUGGGGUGCUCUAGUCGCGAGACGGUUAGUUACACGUUAGUCACCUUCCCUUUACUUUUGGAUUACUUCCGGAAACUCGGGCUAAUUCCCGAUAGGCUCUCCUGCUGCAUGGUGGGGGUUGUAAAGUUUCGGCGGUUGGUGAUGGUCUCGCGGCUUAUCAGCUUGCUGGUGGAGUAGUGGCUGACCAAGGCUUUGACGGGUAGCCGGCCUGAGAGGGUGACCGGCGACAAUGGGACUGAGAGACGCAGCAGAAUGGUACGGGAGGCAGCGGUGGGGAGUAUUACACAAUGGGCGGAAGUCAGAGACAGAAACGUCGGGAGCGGGAAGAUGGGCUGUGAGUGAAAAACAGGUAUCGGAGGUAACGAAGCGAGAGUGACGGUAAUGGGUAAAGAAGCAACGGCUAACUACGUG
RNAcentral lists this ribosomal RNA (468 nucleotides) under uncultured bacterium. RNAcentral describes it as "partial 16S ribosomal RNA". It matches the Rfam family "Bacterial small subunit ribosomal RNA", at positions 28 to 507 of the family's 1533-position model. The record is from RNAcentral.